UUUUUUUAGAAAAUUGAUAGAUUGAAAUUAAUUAAUUUAUGUGGACACGACACCGAUGCGGAAGGGUGUUAAAAUAAAUUAUUUAUUAAAGGACAUAUGCAGCAUUAGAUGAAAAGAAUAAAGUCUUUUUGGAACAAGAGGGAUUUAAGAGCAUUAAAUGAUGUGGGACCUGUGUGUACUUAAAAGCAACAGAGAAAAAACACAACGUUGGCUGGGCGUGAGUUCAAGGGUUUAAAAUGAUGUGGGAUGCGUAGAGGAUUUUUGACGUGCGGCUGGGCUUUUUCAUGUGGUUGGCACACGGGAUUCAAAUAGACAGCAGUUCACGCGGAAGCCGGGAGCGCAUGGGGGCAUUUUGGCGGGCUUUAAAGCAAUGGAAGAAUGGACGCGUGCGGGUUCACAGCAAAUGGGUUUGUUUGCGCGCGGAUUAAAUGCGAGGCGGACCGGAACUCAAACGAAUGGAUAGUCACGCAGCAUGCGGAAAUGACUUCACACGGCGGAUGGGCUUGAGAUACAGGACAUGCUUGGGACGCGGGAAUAAAAGCAUAGUUAACACGGAUUGAAGCUCUAUUUAAAGAGAGGCGAUGAUGCACCAAAUAAUUUUUCAUCCCACCACCCGGCCACCACCAUUAUCCAUCUCUUCUCCCAUCAAUUCUCUCUACACACCUCCACCCUCUUCUCCACUUCCAUCCUCCUUCAAAGUUGCAGUCGGGCAUUGUUGCAAGCACCAGGAUUCCAGCAGUCAGCUCCAUCAUGCGCUGCUAAUUUCGUUCAACUCGGGAAAAAGAGGAAGCUUUUGUACUGAAUAGUUUGUUUUUAUUUCUCGAACUUUUGUAUUCCUGUUCUUAUUGCAAUAAAAGAAAUUAUUUUCUCAUAUAUUAUGAUUUUCUAUUUCCGUUAAGAAUCAUGCUUAGAACAUUCUAUUUCCUCUUGGGAUGAGCCGUGAUCUAUGGGUACGGAUCGUGCUCUCGAGAGAUAGACUGUCUCCAACGUGAGUUCCUUCCCAAGUAGGGGAUCAACCUCGACUAGCCUAUGCUCAAAAGGGUACCAGUCAUGCUCUUUCAAGAUAGUUUAUAUCUAGAUUGAUCUCAUAUCUUUUGUUUGCAUAAGAAUAUAUCUACUUAACAAAAGUGAAAUCAAAAUCCCGAGGCUUUCUUCUCCUACUUGAAUCUGCACUAUAUUAUUAAGUUUGAAAUUGUUAGUUUAAUCUUUUAGUUAAUUAGACCGCCACUAUUUUCUUAUAAUUUAUUUUAAUCUCACUUUUGAAACAACUGCUCGAGAUCCCUGUGGAUUGAUAUCUGGUCUCACCACAUCUACAUUAUUAGUCACACCAGUUUAAUUAUCUUUAAUCGCCUCAUGACAAAGUGUAUCAAAAAUGCAUGACACUAAUUAUGGAUAAAUGUUAAUGAUCAAACAUCCCGCAUGGCAAGCACAUUAGAGUUGGCAUUAUAUAGUAGAAUAGUUAGUUUGGUUUGUGCAUGACAUUAGUAUCUUAAAGAUCCUAUUGUCUUUUAAUCCAAAUUCUAAAGCUCAUUCUUUGACAAUUUUGCUUUAUUCAAAUAUAUUGGUCGUAAUCUUCUCCCUUGAUGGCUUUUAGAUUGCAGAAGAUGGGAACCAAGAUGUUUGUUAAAAAUUCUGAGUGCUUGUUGCCAUUGGUUCACUAGCAUCUUUUUUGAAGUUUAAUUUUAUGCUGCAAUUGUUCAGUAUUUAUUUGAAUUUUGGCAUCUAAAUGUCUACAAAACCAUGUACUAAUUUGCUUGAAGGUAUCCAUUUUCCUAGAAUGCUCGAGUGUCUACAUCAAGGUUUAACAUCUUGGUACCGGACCCCAUACCGAUACCAUCCUCAUAUGGACCGGUACAACAAGCUCAUUCAACAGACAUGGAGGGGCUGCUUGGAUGCCUGCAAGGAGUGAGUAUGUGCAGGUUGGUUCUUACAUGGCUACUAGCGAGAGCUUGUUUAAAAGUGAAAGAGAAGAAUUCUUCUGAUUGGGGAACUUCAAAUCAUACAAUCCACAAUAGUUGGGAUGCUGGAAAUUACCCUUUAUAAUAGUUGAGAUCCUCUAGUUUCUUCUCUCUCAUCAACACCACUUCCAUCAAUUUUGGCCACACAUGCAGUUUAGGGACGGACAUUUUAUGCCAGCAUCUAAACAUGCCUGCAAUGAACAGUUUUAUCUGCUAUUAACUGUGUUACUGCUUCACAGUUAAUUCUGAAUUUUUUACAUUCUGUUCCUAAGGUGUAAGAUUGUCAUCUACUUGUGGAAAUAUUAGUUCCUUCAAAUAUUUGUGCACCCAUGAAAUCUGUAUGUCUUUGAGGAGGUCAAGAAAAAUGCAAAUGGUUGCCACAUUGAGGGGUUUAUCUGCUAAUAACAUUGCAAGUUUUCUCCAACUGUUUUCCUUGAUUAUUUUAAAUUAGAUGUUAGAUGACAUGUAAAGUUGGUUGCAAUUUAUUUGGCUGUCCAAAGUGUUGCAAAAGUUUCAAUGAAAUCGAAGAUUGUGGAAGUUGGAGGCAACAGUGAAGGUUAUAAUAAAAGCUGCAUAAAGCCAAUGUCGACCACCACUUUUGUCCCAAAUUUCCCAUUGAUCUUUGUUGUGCUUAUGAUUCUAAAUGAUCAUGUGCAGGAGCUUCAGUGCAUCCAGCUAGAUUUAGUCCUGAUGAUAUUAGCUUCUCGAUUUUCCUUGUCGACGCAGCAACUCAGCAAGUUCAGACAUGCAAAUUAAUUCUAAUAACAUAAGCUGAAAAGCAGCCCUUGGCAAAGAGAGGCUCUGUUAUGCGGUGAACCAACAAAUAUGAUGGUCCGGUGACAUUUAGGUCAGACUUCAAUGGCUCGGAAUCAACAUGACCUGUGCCAUGAGCUCAGCCAAAAUGGCAGCGUAUAUUUGUAUCCGCCUUCAACUGAUAUUGUCACCUACUUGUUUCAACUUGGCUUGUCAUAGCAUUGCGAACUUUCAAGGAUCGCAUUUGAUUGUUUCCGUCUCUGCAGCUUCUUGGCCUAUGGAUUUUUCUCCAGUACAGAAACUUUUAAAUUUUGUUUUAGUUUGCAACGGGACAUACGUCUAGGUGACAAGUGACAUCAAAUAAGGCUUAGCAUGAUGGUUCCUCUGGACGGUGACCCGCACUCUUUUUCUUGUAGGGACGCAAUAUGUGGGGAGCAUGAAUUCCAUUCGUCACCUCAAAGGUUCACGUCAGAGCUCGAGCACGAGAGGAUUUCGCACCUACUAUUGGCAUAGCGUCCAUCUUUGAAAAGUUUAUUCCAUGUUUUAACAAAAUUUAUGGCAUGUCCUACUCUUGGGUUUGACCAGUUAGGCAGCCGUGUAGAAGACCGGCGUAGCCCUACGUUGUCGUAUCCACCAUAUUUUGGCUGAAAAGGGCGACCUGACCUCUUGAUUUGAAGACCAUGUACAUGGAGCCAAGUGAUAUUUCCUGGACCGUAAAGUCUGGUACAGGGAUCAGCAUAUCGUUGGAAUCUUUUAACGGACGGUGGGAUAUAUUGAGGGCAAUUCUGU
Non-coding RNA from Elaeis guineensis (African oil palm), 3500 nucleotides. Lineage: Eukaryota; Viridiplantae; Streptophyta; Magnoliopsida; Arecales; Arecaceae. The record is from RefSeq and is a predicted model, not a curated record.